RNAcentral lists this unclassified non-coding RNA (198 nucleotides) under Basidiomycota sp. RNAcentral's name for it is "partial contains small subunit ribosomal RNA, internal transcribed spacer 1, and 5.8S ribosomal RNA". The stretch from base 1 to 47 matches the Rfam family "Eukaryotic small subunit ribosomal RNA", at positions 1785 to 1831 of the family's 1831-position model. The record is from RNAcentral. Lineage: Eukaryota; Fungi; Basidiomycota.
AAAGUCGUAACAAGGUUUCCGUAGGUGAACCUGCGGAAGGAUCAUUACAGAAUGGUUGGUUGGUGGUUGGUGGUUGGGUUGGAGGUUAUGUUACAGUAGCCUCUACCAAUACCCCCCAUAUUCGCGCUUGUUUUGUUUCACAGAGUAACAGUCACAUAUAAUCAUAUACAACUUUUAACAAUGGAUCUCUGGGCUCUU